GAAAACGUGGACGUGGGGCUAGUGUACGGGGGAGAUCGCCGGUCCCACCCAAGAGGCCGGCAUGUCUGGUGAUAUAACCUCUUUGGUGUAUAUAUAACCUCUUUACGCGGCGUGAAAAAAGUAGACGAGCGCGGGCGUCUGUUCCUUUUAAUUUUAAUAUUUUGGAAUCUUCUUUUUCUCUCCGUCUCCCUCCUUCUCUAAACUUGAGAAUCUUAAUUGGGAUUGUUUUGUUUUGAACUCAGGAAGCGAAAUCUAACGUGUUGCGUCACGUAAACACUUGACAUUUCCAUUAAUUGAUAUAAAUUGAUUGAAAUGAUGAGGGCAUUGAACUUCAAAAGAAUUGUAAUUGUUACAUGUAGAUCUGUGUACAACUGAAAACUAUUAUAAUUAUAAAUAGAAAGGCAGAAAGUUAUAAUGUGAAGAAGGUGACAGAUGCUUAUGGCCUUUCUGAAGCCCCUCACUGGGAUCAAUCUACCAAAAAGUUAUAUUU
Molecule: long non-coding RNA, 490 nt
Organism: Wasmannia auropunctata (little fire ant)
Lineage: Eukaryota; Metazoa; Arthropoda; Insecta; Hymenoptera; Formicidae
Exons: 3
Source: RefSeq, a predicted model, not a curated record